This 253-nucleotide ribosomal RNA is filed under the name uncultured bacterium. RNAcentral's name for it is "partial 16S ribosomal RNA". It matches the Rfam family "Bacterial small subunit ribosomal RNA", at positions 524 to 776 of the family's 1533-position model. The record is from RNAcentral.
UACAGAGGUCUCAAGCGUUGUUCGGAUUCAUUGGGCGUAAAGGGUGCGCAGGCUGCAUGGUAAGUUUGGUGUGAAAUCCUGGGGCUUAACCCCAGAAUUGCACUGAAUACUGCCGUGCUAGAGGACUGGAGAGGAGAUUGGAAUUCACGGUGUAGCAGUGAAAUGCGUAGAUAUCGUGAGGAAGACCAGUGGCGAAGGCGAAUCUCUGGACAGUUCCUGACGCUCAUGCACGAAGGCCAGGGGAGCAAACGGG